This 392-nucleotide long non-coding RNA is filed under the name Brassica napus (rape). RNAcentral describes it as "long non-coding RNA (BNAP_LNC020171)". Lineage: Eukaryota; Viridiplantae; Streptophyta; Magnoliopsida; Brassicales; Brassicaceae. The record is from RNAcentral.
AUCUGAUCUACAACAAAUAUAAGAUAAUCUCACAAGAGAAGAAGACGAGGAAAAAUAAGAGAAACAAAAGUGAGUCUUUUCCGAUGAUGGUAAGAAACACCACAGACCUCAAAAUAUGCGGAGACGACGAAAAACAUCUUAGGAGAAUAAUGUUAAAUGUUGUUCCAAAAAAAAGAAUAAUGUUCAAAAAUGUGAAAAUAUGAAAUACAAUUUCGACGUUGAAACCAGUAAUGUUAGAAUCAACAAAUGAUUAAAUGCAAAGUUAUUGAAAUUUAAUAUGUUUUACAUCAUAAGCUCAAUUCACCACUAACAAAUAUUACUACACACACAGAAUCACAUUAUUGAAAAAACAACACACAUAAUAUAUUAACAAAUAUAUUACAUAACACCAC